GACGAACGCUGGCGGCGUGCCUAAUACAUGCAAGUCGAGCGGACGGAUGGGAGCUUGCUCCCAGACCGUCAGCGGCGGACGGGUGAGUAACACGUGGGCAACCUGCCUGUAAGACUGGGAUAACUCCGGGAAACCGGGGCUAAUACCGGAUAACUCUUUCCCUCACAUGAGGGAAAGCUGAAAGAUGGCAUCUCGCUAUCACUUACAGAUGGGCCCGCGGCGCAUUAGCUAGUUGGUGAGGUAACGGCUCACCAAGGCGACGAUGCGUAGCCGACCUGAGAGGGUGAUCGGCCACACUGGGACUGAGACACGGCCCAGACUCCUACGGGAGGCAGCAGUAGGGAAUCUUCCGCAAUGGACGAAAGUCUGACGGAGCAACGCCGCGGGAGUGAUGAAGGUUUUCGGAUCGUAAAACUCUGUUGUCAGGGAAGAACAAGUACCGGAGCAACUGCCGGUACCUUGACGGUACCUGACCAGAAAGCCACGGCUAACUACGU
RNAcentral lists this ribosomal RNA (497 nucleotides) under uncultured bacterium. RNAcentral's name for it is "partial 16S ribosomal RNA". It matches the Rfam family "Bacterial small subunit ribosomal RNA", at positions 28 to 506 of the family's 1533-position model. The record is from RNAcentral.